Molecule: long non-coding RNA, 811 nt
Filed under: Homo sapiens (human)
Lineage: Eukaryota; Metazoa; Chordata; Mammalia; Primates; Hominidae
Description: HSALNT0318687
Source: RNAcentral
GACCAUUGUGGGUUGAAUUGCAUUUCCCCAAAAUAUAUGUUGAAUUUCCAACUACUAGGGCCACAGAAUGUGACAAUAUUUGGAAAUGGGGCCAUUCUAGACCUAAGUGGUUAAGAUCAGGUCAUCCUGGAGUAGUGUGGGCUUUUCAUUCAAUAUGACUAUUGUCCUUAUAAAAAGACAAUAUAAAAACUGACACAUGAGGAGAGAACACCAUAUAAUGACGGAGGCAAAAAUUACUGUGUGCAGCUGCAUGUCAAGAAAUUCCAAAGAUUGCCAGCAAAUCACCAGGAGCUAGAGGAAGCAAGAAAGGAUUCACUCCCAUGGGUUUCAGAAGGAGAAGAGCCCUUACUGUUUGAUGUAGAAGCUGAUUUUUUGGAGUAAAGUCCUUUUCCUACGUAUCUCUCCCUCUACUUAAAGACUUAGUGUGAAUGUCAAUUACUCAAGCCUGAAUUAAAAGAGUUGACACAGGACAGGAAAACUCCAGUCAUCCUCAAGGGAAAAGAGGUCCUGAAAAGAGGAAACAAGGAGAGACCUCACGGAGUCAAAACAGGUGUUCACAGGCAUUGAAUACGGAAAAUGACUCAAGCUGCUUAGGAUGAGACGCAUGGUCAGAAUGGUUCAGCACAAGGGAUAUAUAACACCCUGAGGAUUAAAACAAAGGUAGUGUCUAGAAUGUUGCUGAAUAUGACAAAGAACUUUUAGAUUAGAACUCCAGGAAUGAAGAAGAUGAAGAAAAACAGACCUCAUGAUUAUCAGCUAAGGCCACUCCUAGCUCAAUCAUGUGUAGUCAGUGACUAUACAUACCAUCAGU